Long non-coding RNA from Nannospalax galili (Upper Galilee mountains blind mole rat), 845 nucleotides. RefSeq lists it as uncharacterized. The transcript is spliced from 5 exons. Lineage: Eukaryota; Metazoa; Chordata; Mammalia; Rodentia; Spalacidae. The record is from RefSeq and is a predicted model, not a curated record.
UGAGCAGUUAGUAUUCUCCCUCAACUAAUCCUUUUGGGAAAACCUUCACAGACAGACCAAGAUGUUUGCCUCACCAAUCUCCCAGGAAGCAGGGCAGAGCUAUGUGAUGGCCGGGCCGUUUUCCAUCCAGGUGAUAGCUAUUGUCGAGGACAAGAGCAAACAGAGGCUGAGAGACCAUUUACUUUAAGACGAAAACCAGACCAGAGUUGGGGGCUGGAGACAUGGCUCAGCAGAGCUGUCAGCUAGAGCCUUAUGGCGCUGUCCUGCAGACCAGCAAGGCUGGGAAGGAGACGCUGCCUUCUGCGCGCCGCCCUGCAACAUCCCAUGCUAUGAAUUCUGAACACCGUGCAACAUCCCGUGCUAUUCAUUCUGCGCACCGUGCAACAUCCCAUGCUGUGAAUUCUGUGCGCCGUGUGACAACCCGUGCUACGCAUUCUGUGCGCCGUGUGACAACCCGUGCUACGCAUUCUGCGCGCCGUGUGACAUCCCUGCUGUGAAUGCCGUGCUUCCCCCUGAGGGAGCUAGCAAUUUGUUCAGUGGUACCAUCACAUCAAUGAGAACAAUAACAUGUAUGUAUGAACUUAUACCAUUGAGACCUUCCCUCCCGAGGCUGGAGAGAUGGCUCAGUGGUUCAGCGCAUUUGCUGCUCUUCCAAAGACCCUGAGUUCAGUUCCCAGUACGCAUAUCGAUUGGCUCACAGCUGCCUAACUUCUGUUCUGUUCUGUUCUGUUCUGCCUUCUUCUGAGAUCUUCAGACACCUGCAUACAUGAGGCAUACGCACAGACACAGACACACACACGUGUGCCAUGAAUAAAAUAAAAAUAAAAAAUCUUUAAGAGACCUUC